RNAcentral lists this unclassified non-coding RNA (314 nucleotides) under Aurantiosacculus sp. Its description in RNAcentral is "partial contains 5.8S ribosomal RNA, internal transcribed spacer 2, and large subunit ribosomal RNA". The stretch from base 1 to 71 matches the Rfam family "5.8S ribosomal RNA", at positions 84 to 154 of the family's 154-position model. Lineage: Eukaryota; Fungi; Ascomycota; Sordariomycetes; Diaporthales; Cryphonectriaceae. The record is from RNAcentral.
GUGAAUCAUCGAAUCUUUGAACGCACAUUGCGCCCGCUAGCAAUCUAGCAGGCAUGCCUGUUCGAGCGUCAUUUCAACCCUCAAGCGCUGCUCGCUUGGUGUUGGGGCUUCUUCUGCCGGGGCGUCAAACCCCCCAGCAGGCCCUGAAAUGCAGUGGCAGGCUCGCUAAGUUUCCGAGCGUAGUAGUUUAUCUCUCCCUCGCUAAGGAACAUUUGGCGGGUUCUAGCCGUUAAAACCCUCUAAUUCUUUCAGAAGGUUGACCUCGGAUCAGGUAGGAUUACCCGCUGAACUUAAGCAUAUCAAUAAGCGGAGGA